This 295-nucleotide ribosomal RNA is filed under the name uncultured bacterium. RNAcentral describes it as "partial 16S ribosomal RNA". It matches the Rfam family "Bacterial small subunit ribosomal RNA", at positions 775 to 1067 of the family's 1533-position model. The record is from RNAcentral.
GGAUUAGAUACCCUGGUAGUCCUAGCCGUAAACGAUGGAUGCUAGGCGUUGGCAGACUCAAUCCUGUCCGCGCCGAAGUUAACACGAUAAGCAUCCCGCCUGGGAAGUACGACCGCAAGGUUAAAACUCAAAGGAAUUGACGGGGACCCGCACAAGCAGCGGAGCGUGUGGUUUAAUUCGAUGCUACACGAAGAACCUUACCCGGACUUGACAUAUAGAUGGUAGAGAAGAGAAAUUGGAUCGACUCGCAAGAGAGUUUAUACAGGUGUUGCAUGGCUGUCGUCAGCUCGUGCCG